ACGGAAGGCAGCAGUGGGGAAUAUUGCACAAUGGGGGAAACCCUGAUGCAGCGACGCCGCGUGAGUGAAGAAGUAUUUCGGUAUGUAAAGCUCUAUCAGCAAGGAAGAAAAUGACGGUACUUGACUAAGAAGCCCCGGCUAACUACGUGCCAGCAGCCGCGGUAAUACGUAGGGGGCAAGCGUUAUCCGGAUUUACUGGGUGUAAAGGGAGCGUAGACGGUAAUGCAAGUCAGAAGUGAAAGCCCAAGGCUCAACCAUGGGACUGCUUUUGAAACUGUAAUACUAGAGUGCAGGAGAGGUAAGUGGAAUUCCUAGUGUAGCGGUGAAAUGCGUAGAUAUUAGGAGGAACACCAGUGGCGAAGGCGGCUUACUGGACUGUAACUGACGUUGAGGCUCGAAAGCGUGGGGAGCGAACAGGAUUAGAUACCCUGGUA
Molecule: ribosomal RNA, 434 nt
Filed under: uncultured Lachnospiraceae bacterium
Lineage: Bacteria; Bacillati; Bacillota; Clostridia; Lachnospirales; Lachnospiraceae
Description: partial 16S ribosomal RNA
Rfam family: Bacterial small subunit ribosomal RNA
Source: RNAcentral